ACAAGUCGCACGGUCAGCAAUGGCAGUGGCGGACGGGUGAGUAACGCGUAGGAAUAUGUCCAGAGGUGGGGGACAACCCCGGGAAACUGGGGCUAAUACCGCAUAUGAGCUGAGGCUCAAAGCAGUGAUGCGCCUUUGGAGUAGCCUGCGUCCGAUUAGCUUGUUGGUGGGGUAAUGGCCUACCAAGGCGACGAUCGGUAGCUGGUCUGAGAGGACGACCAGCCACACUGGGACUGAGACACGGCCCAGACUCCUACGGGAGGCAGCAGUGGGGAAUAUUGGACAAUGGGCGCAAGCCUGAUCCAGCAAUUCCGCGUGGGUGAAGAAGGUCUUCGGAUUGUAAAGCCCUUUCGACGGGGACGAUGAUGACGGUACCCGUAGAAGAAGCCCCGGCUAACUUCGUGCCAGCAGCCGCGGUAAUACGAAGGGGGCUAGCGUUGCUCGGAAUUACUGGGCGUAAAGGGCGCGUAGGCGGCUUAGUUAGUCAGGCGUGAAA
RNAcentral lists this ribosomal RNA (496 nucleotides) under uncultured bacterium. RNAcentral's name for it is "bacterial SSU rRNA". It matches the Rfam family "Bacterial small subunit ribosomal RNA", at positions 57 to 599 of the family's 1533-position model. The record is from RNAcentral.